CCAAAUUUAGACGAUUACUAUGUUUCAUCGUACCUAGUCAAACCAACAGUAGUGGGAAAUCAACCGUUUUUAAGUUAGAGUCCUCUUCAAAUGGGUGAGAGUCCCUAUACGUGUUUUGUCUUUGUCAAGGAGAGUUACGUUGAGAUCUUACAAAGGUGAUCCCAGAG
Long non-coding RNA from Osmerus eperlanus (European smelt), 167 nucleotides. RefSeq lists it as uncharacterized. The record is from RefSeq and is a predicted model, not a curated record. Lineage: Eukaryota; Metazoa; Chordata; Actinopteri; Osmeriformes; Osmeridae. The transcript is spliced from 3 exons.